UCUGUAAUAGGCAGAUGUCCAUAUCUACUUUUGCUGUAGAAGAGGAAGCAGUGUAACAGCUCUCUGGAGGGAGUAUCCCAGGAGAACACCUAUUUUCUCGGGGCUGGGGGCUGAGAUGUAGCCCCUGGCUGGAGAGAGGACAUCCAUGCUGGAUUUCCAGUUCCUGUUUGAAAAUCUGGGUGACCUUUACUGCUCCAGCAGUGCCUGUGCAAACAGAGAUCCCCACCCUGAACUUUGAUUUACACUCAACUAGUAAAAAGAAAAAUACUGUAAUUAAAGCAUCAAGAAAUAGGUACACAGAAGAAAAGUGUCUGUAGCUCUGCAACAAAGUUCAGCUGCAUAUUCUCAGGUUACAGAGUCUAUCCCCAUAGGGCACUUUUUCUCCUGCCUGUUUCAUGGUGCUGUGUCUGGGCUUUGCAAUAACUGUUGUGUGGGACAAACCAUUACAUCUUUGUAUUACGGGCAUUUGUGUCCAGCCUCGAAACGUUAUUUCGUUCCCUGAGGUGAAUGCUGUUAUCAGGAGAAUGAAGUGUCCCAGUCCCCUGGUAAUUAUUCAUUAGGUAAGAUGUAAUGUGUGCGUGCAGAGUUCACUGUGGAUCCCACAGGAGAGGUCUGUGAGCCGAGCUUAUGUCAGCUUUAGGGUAGGGAUGGGUGAGUAACCAGAGAAAAACAACAAAACUAGAUCAGGAGCAGUCUGACCAAAACUUAACCCAAAACCUUUUCUUUUCAUCUCAAGGCUAAACUUACCAUUGAGUUCAGAAGGCUGGGAAGACUCCAGGUCAAUUUGCACCCACAUCUAGAACAAAUCACAGCUGCACUGAGGCAAAGCAAUGUUUGGGAUCACAAACCUGUGACUGUUCUACCCAUUGAGGAUCCAGGGAUUUCUGUAGCUCAAGGAGCAGGCCCCACUGGAGGGAAGUCACCAGUGAUUGUGUUACAGGAUGUGGGUAGGAGCAGCAGUGACCCCCUGACCACCCCAGAAAGGAGCAGCUCCUACCUUUGCAUAAGGAUAUGGGUGUUGCUGGGAGAUGAAAAGUCAUCUCCUGUCUUAGGAGGUGGAGGCUUAAAUGGAGGAAGGAGAAGCUUACAGCCAACACCUGACUCUGCCUGCAUUUAAUUAUCUAAUGUGUCAAUGCACAAAUACCAGCUCUGCUGACCUCAAACAUGUAAAAAUCCC
Molecule: long non-coding RNA, 1177 nt
Filed under: Junco hyemalis (dark-eyed junco)
Lineage: Eukaryota; Metazoa; Chordata; Aves; Passeriformes; Passerellidae
Description: lncRNA (ENSJHYG00000007990.1)
Source: RNAcentral